Long non-coding RNA from Chelonus insularis, 755 nucleotides. RefSeq lists it as uncharacterized. The transcript has 2 exons. The record is from RefSeq and is a predicted model, not a curated record. Lineage: Eukaryota; Metazoa; Arthropoda; Insecta; Hymenoptera; Braconidae.
CAAUGGAAUGCGUUGACAGUUGUACGGAAAAUAUAUAAUAAUUAAUAUCAUAAUUAACGACUAUCUCUAUUGUAAAACGUCAAUUGUCUAAAAACAAAGCGAUAAUUAAUUACGAUUAGAAAAGAAAAUUCAAAAUAUCUUUCCAAGUGUGUGCAUGGGAACCAGAUGUGGAUGACAUUUAGUUACAACUGAUGGUCAAUAUGUCUUUUAUUAAAAAGAAAACAAAGAAGAAGUGGCAAGAAAUAAUAACAAAUCUCCAACAUGAUCUAACCUGAGCAUACGUAAUUCUGAAAAUUGAAAUCAAAGUAAAUAAAAAGGAAUAAGAAGUGUUGAUGUAAGGUUAUAUUUUGAAAAAAUGUUUAUGUUAGAAAGUGUGAAUAGUUUUAUUGUAAAUUACUGUUAUAUUAUUGCAAUGAUCUUUGUUUAAAGUAAUUACAAUAAAACACAUGAAAUAAUGAAGGAAAUAAAAUAAUAAAAAGUAAAAACAAGCAAACACUAUGGAUUUACGAAGUAAAUUUAAAGUUGUAGACAAGCAAAUAGAUUUUAUGACUUAAAUUCUAAAAAAACAAUAGAGUUAUGCUAAUUUAUGUAAGUUUAUCAUACUGAUCUUAAUCAUUAAAUUACAUGUUUGUUUAUUUAUUUAAUACUUACUUAGUUUGUGUGAUACUCGUCUCUGUUUCACUUCUCUCUCACUUUUCUCAGCUUGUAAAACAUGAUGUAGUCCACGUUAAUAUUUUACAAAUAUUUAAUAACAA